GACGAACGCUGGCGGCGUGCUUAACACAUGCAAGUCGAGCGGUAAGGCCCUUUCGGGGGUACACGAGCGGCGAACGGGUGAGUAACACGUGGGUGACCUGCCCUCAGCUCUGGGAUAAGGCCUGGGAAACCGGGUCUAAUACUGGAUAUGACUCCAUGACGCAUGUUGUGGGGUGGAAAGCCUUGUGCGGCUGAGGAUGGGCCCGCGGCCUAUCAGCUUGUUGGUGGGGUNANGGCCUACCAAGGCGACGACGGGUAGCCGGCCUGAGAGGGCGACCGGCCACACUGGGACUGAGACACGGCCCAGACUCCUACGGGNGGCAGCAGUGGGGAAUCUUGCGCAAUGGGCGAAAGCCUGACGCAGCGACGCCGCGUGAGGGA
RNAcentral lists this ribosomal RNA (380 nucleotides) under uncultured bacterium. RNAcentral's name for it is "bacterial SSU rRNA". It matches the Rfam family "Bacterial small subunit ribosomal RNA", at positions 28 to 408 of the family's 1533-position model. The record is from RNAcentral.